GAGGGUGUAGCUCAGUGGUAGAGUGUGUGCUUAGCGUGCACAAGGUCCUGGGUUCAAUCCCUAGUACCUCCC
RNAcentral lists this transfer RNA (72 nucleotides) under Camelus bactrianus (Bactrian camel). It matches the Rfam family "tRNA". From Rfam's summary of the family: Transfer RNA (tRNA) molecules are approximately 80 nucleotides in length. Their secondary structure includes four short double-helical elements and three loops (D, anti-codon, and T loops). Further hydrogen bonds mediate the characteristic L-shaped molecular structure. tRNAs have two regions of fundamental functional importance: the anti-codon, which is responsible for specific mRNA codon recognition, and the 3' end, to which the tRNAs corresponding amino acid is attached (by aminoacyl-tRNA synthetases). tRNAs cope with the degeneracy of the genetic code in two manners: having more than one tRNA (with a specific anti-codon) for a particular amino acid; and 'wobble' base-pairing, i.e. permitting non-standard base-pairing at the 3rd anti-codon position. Lineage: Eukaryota; Metazoa; Chordata; Mammalia; Artiodactyla; Camelidae. RNAcentral also lists the same sequence under 2 other names. The record is from Rfam by way of RNAcentral.